This 403-nucleotide ribosomal RNA is filed under the name uncultured bacterium. Its description in RNAcentral is "partial 16S ribosomal RNA". It matches the Rfam family "Bacterial small subunit ribosomal RNA", at positions 28 to 526 of the family's 1533-position model. The record is from RNAcentral.
GACGAACGCUGGCGGCGUGCCUAAUACAUGCAAGUCGAACGCAGUGGGGACGGGUGAGUAACACGUGGGUAACCUCCCAUCAGAGGGGAUACCACUUGGAAACAGGUGCUAAACCGCUACUGAUGGAUGGACACGCGGUGGAUUGGCUAGUUGGUGCAGUAACGGCUCACCAAGGCCACGAGGCAUAGCCGACCUGAGAGGGUGAUCAGCAACACGGGGACUGAGAGACGGCCCAGACUCCUACGGUAGGCAGCAGUAGGGAAUUUUCGGCAAUGGACGAAAGUCUGACCGAGCAAUGCCGCGUGAGUGAAGAAGGUUUUCGGAUCGUAAAAUUCUGUUGUUAGAGAAGCGGUAUCUAACGAGAAAGCCACGGCUAACUACGUGCCAGCAGCCGCGGUAAUAC